RNAcentral lists this ribosomal RNA (486 nucleotides) under Triticum aestivum (bread wheat). RNAcentral describes it as "partial small subunit ribosomal RNA". Lineage: Eukaryota; Viridiplantae; Streptophyta; Magnoliopsida; Poales; Poaceae. The record is from RNAcentral.
AUGAAUUGUUUAAGCUGGAACUGUCGGGGGCUUGGGAACCCCAAGGUAGUUUGCGAGCUUCGCAAUGUUGUGAAGCAAGAAGGGCCCGCUCUGGUUUUUGUUAUGGAGACAAAAAUCAGAGGCAAGCGAGUUGAGGAUCUGCGGCACACCCUAGGGUUUGUGGGCAGCUUUUUGGUGGACAGCGACGGCCUUAGCGGAGGUAUAGGGCUGUUCUGGUCGAGCGAUGUGAAAGUGGAACUGAAGAAUUACAGCAAAAACCACAUUGAUGUGCUGGUGAGGGAGGACACAGAUGUUGGUUGGCGGUUCACGGGGUUCUAUGGAGCACCGAAAGCAGCAGAUCGCCACCACAGCUGGCGGUUCCUGCAAACCUUGCUUGCAAUCCCUCAUGAUGCAUGGUUGUGCAUCGAUGAUUUCAAGGGAACCCUAUAUCCCCAGGAGCAUUUCAGCCUUUCAGCUCGUCCCGAGAGGCAGAUGAGGGACUUUUAA